UUUUUUUUUUUUUUUUUUUUUUUUUUUUUUAUUAAAUUUUAUUUUCCCACUGUACAGCAAGGGGGUCAGGUUAUCCUUACAUGUAUACAUUACAAUUACAGGUUUUCCCCCACCAGGUCUGCUGUUGCAACAUGAGUAUCUAGACAUAGUUCUCAAUGCUAUUCAGCGGGAUCUCCUUGUAAACCUAUUCUACGUUGUGACUGAUAAGCCCAAGCUCCCGAUCCCUCCCACUCCCUCCCCCUCCCAUCAGGCAACCACAAGUCUCUUCUCCAAGUCCAUGAUUGAUUUUCUUUUCUGAGGAGAUGUUCAUUUGUGCUGGAUAUUAGAUUCCAGUUAUAAGUGAUGUCAUAUGGUAUUUGUCUUUGUCUUUCUGGCUCAUUUCACUCAGGAUGAGAUACUCUAGUUCCAUCCAUGUUGCUGCAAAUGGCAUGAUGUCAUCCUUUUUUAUGGCGGAGAAGUAUUACAUCAUGUAUAUAUACCACAUCUUCCGAAUCCAAUCCUCUGACGAUGGACAUUUGGAUUGUUUCCAUGUCCUGGCUAUUGUGAAUAGUGCUGCAAUGAACAUGCGGGUGCAUGUGUCUCUUUUAAGUAGAGCUUUGUCCGGAUAGAUGCCCAAGAGUGGGAUUGCAGGGUCAUAUGGAAGUUCUAUGUAUAGAUUUCUAAGGUAUCUCCAAACUGUUCUCCAUAGUGGCUGUACCAGUUUACAUUCCCACCAACAGUGCAGGAGGGUUCCCUUUUCUCCACAGCCCCUCCAGCACUUGUUAUUUGUGGAUUUAUUAAUGAUGGCCAUUCUGACUGGUGUGAGGUGAUAUCUCAUGGUAGUUUUGAUUUGCAUUUCUCUUAUAAUCAGCGAUGUUGAGCAUUUUUUCAUGUGUUUGUUGGCCAUCUGUAUAUCUUCUUUGGAGAAAUGUCUAUUCAGGUCUUUUGCCCAUUUUUCCAUUGAUUGAUUGGCUUUUUUGCUGUUGGGUUGUAUAAGUUGUUUAUAUAUUCUAGAGAUUAAGCCCUUGUCCAAUAUUUUGAAUCUUCUAGGUAGCUACUAUCAUGGCAACUUCUUCAUUAUUGUUGGUCUAAGACUUCAUAGUUCAUAAAGUCUCUAAGACUGUCUUCUAGAUCUCAUCCAUCUCUUGAAAUUCUUUUCCAAAAAUUAUAACUAGGUUACGCCUUGGUAUCAUAAACUAUUAAACUUAAUACAAAUUUCUCUGUGGUAUUAAUAAGGAAAAUACCUCAUCAAGGCUAUAUAUUUUAUAAUAAUGAUUCCAACAUCAUUUUGUGGGCAAUGGCGCCAAAAUUAUUUUGAAAAAAAAAGACUUUCUGAAUCGUAGUUAUAGUCACUGAAAAGUGUCUGGCAUUUUUAUUAUCCUGGUCUUCUGUCUUAUUCACAGCUAACAAAUUUUAAUUCUCGAAAUAAAAUCACUCUAGUGUGAUUAUGAACAUCAGGAAAAGCUAUAUUUUCUCACUUCCACACAUGAAACUCCAGAGACUAAAAUGAAGGGUCUUUUGGAAACUCUAACAUCGUCACUAGCUCAGAACUUUACAGCUUUACCUUUUCUCAAAGAAUCUAUAAUUAAGAUUUUCAAACACAAUUUUCCCUAAUUAUUGAGAAUUAGGUUGGAAAUUUUUGUUGUCCAUCAUCUCAGAGUAAUAAAUCUAUGACUUUAAACAUGAAACCCCAAAUCAUCCAAAUGCAUUCAUUUAAUUUAUUUUUUCUGUAGUAAUACAUGCUUUGCUUAUAAAGAAAAUUCCAGAUUAAGCUAUUUAACAGAUUAUUGAAAAAUCUGUUCCUGCUAACAUUGUUUUUGCAUGUUCUGUGUGCCUAUUAUAAGAAACAGAGUAAAACAGGCACCGAAUCUAAAAGAAUAGUUAAUGAGAGGAAAAUAAAUUUAGAACUUGACAGGUACUUUAUUAUCAGCAUAUAAUACAUGACAAAAUUAAAACUCUUAUCAAGGCCUACUCACUGGGAAAAUCUAAAUUUAUUGUAAUUGUUGAAGCAACUGCUUUUAACCCAAAUGGACAGGGGUUUAGUUUCAUUUUCAUGCUUACUAUAAACGUGUCCAUCUCUUCGUCACCAGUGAUAAAUGCUACUGACUUGAAUCGAGUGACAUAUAAUUUGAAAUAAGAAUAAUGUCCUACACUUGUAUAUACUUUUUACAAAACACUUUUAAACAUUUUUCUAGGUCUUAUCCCUAUGAGUUAAAUUGAUUUAUGUUAGACUGCUUUGCCCAUAUUAUAGAAAAUAAAACUAACAGGGUUACUAAGUGAUGUGCCACAGGUCUCAAAGUUCGUAUGUAGCAGUUCAAGAUUACAGCCCUCUUUACCUGCACCUCGGCCCAAGCAGCAGCCUGUCCUCUGCAGAACAGGUAGCUCCUCCAGGUACUAAAAAUGCACAAAGAUAUCUAUUCUCACCUUUGAGAAUCUACAUCCCAACUCGGUUGCAGAACUAAUCUAGGCUAAGUCACCUGAUAGCUUUCUCUUUCUGUUAUCUCUUGUGUACCUGCCUUCAUUUAAGGCAAGCAAUACCAUCCAAACUCAGGCCAUGGUCCACAACACUUCAAGCAAAUUGACCUGUUAAAAGAAUUAGUUCAUAUGUACUUCUUUAGAAGCACAGGAAUUGGAUUUAUGCCUUAUAUUUUUCAGCCAACAGUGGAUUAAAAAUGGCUGUGCCCUUUCCAAAAGUUCCAACCUUAAAACAAGGGAACUUCUUUGGCUUCAAAGUCACCUUCAGUCACCAACUGUUUUGUCUGAACAGUUAAAUAAAUAUAAAGUUGAAUUUGGGUUUUGCAUGAUUCAUUGAACUGUUCUCCCAAAAGUUUGAUUUUUUUUUUACAUGAAACAUAUCCAAAUGAAGAAAAAUAUUAAAAUUUAAAAUUGGCACAAGGCUGCCAGACCUCCAGAAAUUUACUUAAAUUUCUGAGUUAAAACAUUAUUUCUUGAAGAUUACAAAAUACUUCUUUGUCUUAGAAAAGCCCAAUAUAAAUCUGUACUUUUACCUCUUUCCAGGCAAUUCAAAGUCCUGAGAACAUUUUAAUUCCAUUUAUCCCCUCCUAUGUUAUAUGCUAUUAUUAUUACUAUGUAUUUCCAUUCUGUAUAUUUUAAAAUCACAGAAGGCACUGUAUAAUCAAUACCAAUUUAAGUCAGCUGUUUAUUUACUCUUUUUGUUGCUCUCCAUACCUGUUUUUAUUUAUUUAUUUCAUUUAUUCAUUCAUUCAUUGGCCCUGCCCACUGCAUGUGGAAGUUCCCAGGCCAGAGAUCAAACCCACGCCUCAGAUAUAACCAGAGCCACAGGAGUGACAAAAUCAGAUCCUUGUAAUAAGAAUAAUGUCCUACUGAGCCAGGAGGAAACUCCAUUCUUUUUUAUUUUAAUUUUCUAUUUUAUUGUGAUAAGACACAACAUGCAAUAUAUUCUCUUAACAAAUUUUGUGUUGAUUCUAGGUACAGUGUUAUACAGUAGAUUGUUAAAGCUUAUUUAUCUUUUUUAAAAAAAUUUUUAUUUCCCCAAUACAUUAUUUUUUUUCUACUGUACAACAUGGUGACCCAGCUACACAUACAUGUAUACAUUCUUUUUUCUGACUUUAUCAUGACUUUAUAAGUGACUAGAUAUAGUUCCCAGUGCUACACAGCAGGAUCCCAUUACUAAUCCAUUCCAAAGGCAAUAUUCUUAUUUAAAUGAAACUUAAUGCCUAGUGAUUAAUAAUUCCCCAUCCCGGAGUUCCUAUCCUGGCUCAGUGGUUAACAAAUCCGACUAGGAACCAUGAGGUUGCGGGUUCCAUCCCUGGCCUUGCUCAGUGGGUUAAGGAUCUGGUGUUGCCGUUAGCUGUGGUAUAGGUUGCAGACGUGGCUCGGAUCCCGCGUUGCUGCGGCUCUGGCGUAGGCCGGCGGCUACAGCUCUGAUUGGACCCCUAGCCUGGGAACCUCCAUAUGCCGAGGGAGCGGCCCUAGAAAUGGCAAAGAAAAAAGACCAAAAAAAAAAAAAAA
Molecule: long non-coding RNA, 3972 nt
Filed under: Sus scrofa (pig)
Lineage: Eukaryota; Metazoa; Chordata; Mammalia; Artiodactyla; Suidae
Description: lncRNA (ENSSSCG00050064181.1)
Source: RNAcentral